GACGAACGCUGGCGGCGUGCCUAAUACAUGCAAGUCGAGCGAAUGGAUGGGAGCUUGCUCCCUGAAGUUAGCGGCGGACGGGUGAGUAACACGUGGGCAACCUGCCUAUAAGACUGGGAUAACUUCGGGAAACCGGAGCUAAUACCGGAUAAUUCAUAUCUACUCAUGUAGAUAUGCUGAAAGACGGUUUACGCUGUCACUUAUAGAUGGGCCCGCGGCGCAUUAGCUAGUUGGUGAGGUAACGGCUCACCAAGGCCACGAUGCGUAGCCGACCUGAGAGGGUGAUCGGCCACACUGGGACUGAGACACGGCCCAGACUCCUACGGGAGGCAGCAGUAGGGAAUCUUCCGCAAUGGACGAAAGUCUGACGGAGCAACGCCGCGUGAGUGAUGAAGGUUUUCGGAUCGUAAAACUCUGUUGUUAGGGAAGAACAAGUACCAGAGUAAC
Molecule: ribosomal RNA, 447 nt
Filed under: uncultured bacterium
Lineage: Bacteria
Description: bacterial SSU rRNA
Rfam family: Bacterial small subunit ribosomal RNA
Source: RNAcentral